CGAACGCUGGCGGCGUGCUUAACACAUGCACGUCGAACGGAAAGGCCCUGCUUUUGUGGGGUGCUCGAGUGGCGAACGGGUGAGUAACACGUGAGUAACCUGCCCUUGACUUUGGGAUAACUUCAGGAAACUGGGGCUAAUACCGGAUAGGAGCUCCUGCUGCAUGGUGGGGGUUGGAAAGUUUCGGCGGUUGGGGAUGGACUCGCGGCUUAUCAGCUUGUUGGUGGGGUAGUGGCUUACCAAGGCUUUGGCGGGUAGCCGGCCCGGGAGGGGGACAGGCCACAUUGGGACUGAGGUACGGCCCAGACGCCUACGGGAGGCAGCAGGGGGGAAUAUUGCACAAUGGGCGGAAGCCUGAUGCAGCAACGCCGCGUGCGGGAUGACGGCCUUCGGGUUGUAAACCGCUUUCGCCUGUGACGAAGCGUGAGUGACGGUAAUGGGUAAAGAAGCACCGGCUAACUACGUG
Molecule: ribosomal RNA, 466 nt
Filed under: uncultured bacterium
Lineage: Bacteria
Description: partial 16S ribosomal RNA
Rfam family: Bacterial small subunit ribosomal RNA
Source: RNAcentral